GAGCACGUAGGUGGGUUUGUCAGUCAGUUGUGAAAUCCUCCGGCUCAACCGGGGAACUGCUUCUGAUACUGCGGGGCUAGAGUGCGGGAGGGGAGAGUGGAACUCCUGGUGGAGCGGUGAAAUGCGUAGAUAUCAGGAGGAACGCCGGUGGCGAAAGCGACUCUCUGGACCGUUACUGACGCUGAGGUGCGAAGGCUAGGGUAGCAAACAGGAUUAGAUACCCUGGUAGUCCUAGCCGUAAACGAUGGGCACUAAGUAGAGGGGUUUU
This 268-nucleotide ribosomal RNA is filed under the name uncultured bacterium. RNAcentral's name for it is "partial 16S ribosomal RNA". It matches the Rfam family "Bacterial small subunit ribosomal RNA", at positions 565 to 832 of the family's 1533-position model. The record is from RNAcentral.